CCUACGGGAGGCUGCAGUGGGGGAUAUUGCACAAUGGGGGGAACCCUGAUGCAGCGACGCCGCGUGGGUGAAGAAGCGCCUCGGCGCGUAAAGCCCUGUCAGCAGGGAAGAAAAUGACGGUACCUGAAGAAGAAGCCCCGGCUAACUACGGGCCCGCAGCCGGCGGAAUACGUAGGGGGCAAGCGGUAUCCGGAUUUUCUGGGUGUAAAGGGGGCCGAGACGGCGAUGCAAGCCAGGAGUGAAAGCCCGGGGGCCAACCCCGGGACAGCUUUUGGAACUGCGUGGCUGGAGUGCAGGAGGGGCAGGCGGAAUUCCUGGUGUAGCGGUGAAAUGCGUAGAUAUCAGGAGGAACACCAGUGGCGAAGGCGGCCUACUGGACUGCAACUGACGUUGAGGCCCGAAAGCGUGGGGAGCAAACAGGAUUAGAUACCCGAGUAGUC
Molecule: ribosomal RNA, 440 nt
Filed under: uncultured bacterium
Lineage: Bacteria
Description: partial 16S ribosomal RNA
Rfam family: Bacterial small subunit ribosomal RNA
Source: RNAcentral